RNAcentral lists this ribosomal RNA (520 nucleotides) under uncultured Glomus. Its description in RNAcentral is "SSU rRNA". It matches the Rfam family "Eukaryotic small subunit ribosomal RNA", at positions 569 to 1093 of the family's 1831-position model. Lineage: Eukaryota; Fungi; Glomeromycota; Glomeromycetes; Glomerales; Glomeraceae. The record is from RNAcentral.
AGCAGCCGCGGUAAUUCCAGCUCCAAUAGCGUAUAUUAAAGUUGUUGCAGUUAAAAAGCUCGUAGUUGAAUUUCGGGACUAGUACGCUGGUCAUGCCUUUGGUAUGUACUGGUGUUACUGGUUCCUACCUUCUGACGAACCGUCAUGUCAUUCAUUUGGUGUGGCGGGGAAUCAGGACUGUUACUUUGAAAAAAUUAGAGUGUUUAAAGCAGGCUCGCGCUUGAAUACAUUAGCAUGGAAUAAUGAAAUAGGACGUUUGAUCCUAUUUUGUUGGUUUCUAGGAUUGACGUAAUGAUUAAUAGGGAUAGUUGGGGGCAUUAGUAUUCAAUUGUCAGAGGUGAAAUUCUUGGAUUUAUUGAAGACUAACUACUGCGAAAGCAUUUGCCAAGGAUGUUUUCAUUAAUCAAGAACGAAAGUUAGGGGAUCGAAGACGAUCAGAUACCGUCGUAGUCUUAACCAUAAACUAUGCCGACUAGGGAUCGGAUGAUGUUAUUUUAAUGACUCAUUCGGCGCCUUACGG